This 424-nucleotide long non-coding RNA is filed under the name Arabidopsis lyrata. RNAcentral's name for it is "long non-coding RNA (ALYR_LNC001178)". The record is from RNAcentral. Lineage: Eukaryota; Viridiplantae; Streptophyta; Magnoliopsida; Brassicales; Brassicaceae.
UUUCGCAGAGUAAUAGAAGCACGUGAUGUUGUUGAUGACCGUUUGGGAGGAAGCUUCCUAGUGACCUUCCUAUUGUUGCAGACAGAAGACUCUGAUUGACUCAGAGGAUUAGGCUUCUUCUCUGCUUUACUUAAAAAUCCUCUGUUUGAGGCAGAGGCUUUGGUAUUGUUGACUUAGGCUGAGUUUGGUUGACAUUCUCCUCCUUCUUCUGUUUCUUAGAACUCACCAUGUCCUCCUCUGUGAGACUUCUCUUUGCUGGAAUGAAGGGUUUUGACUUUGCUUGAACGGACUGUUUUAAUGACUCCUCAGCUUUCAACAUCUACAGGGAUUAAAGGACAAAAGUAUUAGUUUAUUUCAUUGAUAAAAUUAGAUGAAGCUAUUAAAAGUUUUAUAGAAUUUGCCUCAAGCUCAAGCUCUUCAGUUA